RNAcentral lists this ribosomal RNA (1440 nucleotides) under uncultured organism. RNAcentral describes it as "SSU rRNA". It matches the Rfam family "Bacterial small subunit ribosomal RNA". The record is from RNAcentral.
ACACAUGCAAGUCGAGGGGCAUCAGGAACAUAGCUUGCUUUCUUUGCUGGCGACCGGCGCACGGGUGAGUAACACGUAUCCAACCUGCCCUUUACUCGGGGAUAGCCUUUCGAAAGAAAGAUUAAUACCCGAUAGCAUAAUGAUUCCGCAUGGUUUCAUUAUUAAAGGAUUCCGGUAAAGGAUGGGGAUGCGUUCCAUUAGGUUGUUGGUGAGGUAACGGCUCACCAAGCCUUCGAUGGAUAGGGGUUCUGAGAGGAAGGUCCCCCACAUUGGAACUGAGACACGGUCCAAACUCCUACGGGAGGCAGCAGUGAGGAAUAUUGGUCAAUGGGCGCUAGCCUGAACCAGCCAAGUAGCGUGAAGGAUGAAGGCUCUAUGGGUCGUAAACUUCUUUUAUAUAAGAAUAAAGUGCAGUAUGUAUACUGUUUUGUAUGUAUUAUAUGAAUAAGGAUCGGCUAACUCCGUGCCAGCAGCCGCGGUAAUACGGAGGAUCCGAGCGUUAUCCGGAUUUAUUGGGUUUAAAGGGAGCGUAGGUGGACUGGUAAGUCAGUUGUGAAAGUUUGCGGCUCAACCGUAAAAUUGCAGUUGAUACUGUCAGUCUUGAGUACAGUAGAGGUGGGCGGAAUUCGUGGUGUAGCGGUGAAAUGCUUAGAUAUCACGAAGAACUCCGAUUGCGAAGGCAGCUCACUGGACUGCAACUGACACUGAUGCUCGAAAGUGUGGGUAUCAAACAGGAUUAGAUACCCUGGUAGUCCACACAGUAAACGAUGAAUACUCGCUGUUUGCGAUAUACAGUAAGCGGCCAAGCGAAAGCAUUAAGUAUUCCACCUGGGGAGUACGCCGGCAACGGUGAAACUCGAAGGAAUUGACGGGGGCCCGCACAAGCGGAGGAACAUGUGGUUUAAUUCGAUGAUACGCGAGGAACCUUACCCGGGCUUAAAUUGCAGUGGAAUGAUGUGGAAACAUGUCAGUGAGCAAUCACCGCUGUGAAGGUGCUGCAUGGUUGUCGUCAGCUCGUGCCGUGAGGUGUCGGCUUAAGUGCCAUAACGAGCGCAACCCUUAUCUUCAGUUACUAACAGGUCAUGCUGAGGACUCUGGAGAGACUGCCGUCGUAAGAUGUGAGGAAGGUGGGGAUGACGUCAAAUCAGCACGGCCCUUACGUCCGGGGCUACACACGUGUUACAAUGGGGGGUACAGAAGGCAGCUAGCGGGUGACCGUAUGCUAAUCCCAAAAUCCUCUCUCAGUUCGGAUCGAAGUCUGCAACCCGACUUCGUGAAGCUGGAUUCGCUAGUAAUCGCGCAUCAGCCACGGCGCGGUGAAUACGUUCCCGGGCCUUGUACACACCGCCCGUCAAGCCAUGGGGGCCGGGGGUACCUGAAGUACGUAACCGCAAGGAUCGUCCUAGGGUAAAACUGGUGACUGGGGCUAAGUCAUAACAA